RNAcentral lists this ribosomal RNA (480 nucleotides) under uncultured bacterium. RNAcentral describes it as "partial 16S ribosomal RNA". It matches the Rfam family "Bacterial small subunit ribosomal RNA", at positions 28 to 523 of the family's 1533-position model. The record is from RNAcentral.
GAUGAACGCUGGCGGCGUGCUUAACACAUGCAAGUCGAGCGAUGAAGUUUCCUUCGGGAAACGGAUUAGCAGCGGACGGGUGAGUAACACGUGGGUAACCUGCCUCAUAGAGUGGAAUAGCCUUCCGAAAGGAAGAUUAAUACCGCAUAACGUUGAAAGAUGGCAUCAUCAUUCAACCAAAGGAGCAAUCCGCUAUGAGAUGGACCCGCGGCGCAUUAGCUAGUUGGUGGGGUAACGGCCUACCAAGGCGACGAUGCGUAGCUGACCUGAGAGGGUGAUCGGCCACAUGCGGACUGAGACACGGCCCAGACUCCUACGGGAGGCAGCAGUGGGGAAUAUUGGACAAUGGGGGAAACCCUGAUGCAGCAACGCCGCGUGAGUGAUGAAGGUUUUCGGAUCGUAAAGCUCUGUCUUUGGGGAAGAUAAUGACGGUACUCAAGGAGGAAGCCACGGCUAACUACGUGCCAGCCGCCGCGGUAA